CAGCCGCCGCGGUAAUACCGGCGGCCCGAGUGGCGGUCACUAUUAUUGGGCCUAAAGCGUCCGUAGCCGGGCUGGUAAGUCCUCCGGGAAAUCUGGUCGCUUAACGAUCAGACUUCCGGAGGAUACUGCUGGCCUAGGGACCGGGAGAGGCCGAGGGGAUUCCCGGGGUAGGGGUGAAAUCCUGUAAUCCCGGGAGGACCACCUGUGGCGAAGGCGCUCGGCUGGAACGGGUCCGACGGUGAGGGACGAAGGCCAGGGGAGCGAACCGGAUUAGAUACCCGGGUAGUCCUGGCUGUAAACGAUGCGGACUAGGUGUCGGGCAAGCUAAGGGCUUGUCCGGUGCCGCAGGGAAGCCGUUAAGUCCGCCGCCUGGGGAGUACGGCCGCAAGGCUGAAACUUAAAGGAAUUGGCGGG
RNAcentral lists this ribosomal RNA (414 nucleotides) under uncultured microorganism. RNAcentral's name for it is "bacterial SSU rRNA". It matches the Rfam family "Archaeal small subunit ribosomal RNA", at positions 459 to 872 of the family's 1478-position model. The record is from RNAcentral.